Notothenia coriiceps (black rockcod) is the source of this 391-nucleotide long non-coding RNA. RefSeq lists it as uncharacterized. The record is from RefSeq and is a predicted model, not a curated record. Lineage: Eukaryota; Metazoa; Chordata; Actinopteri; Perciformes; Nototheniidae. The transcript is spliced from 2 exons.
ACAGCAAGAAGGAAAGUGAUGUUUAAAAGUAGGCUGCGUAUAGCAAGACGAGAUGCAGAAGAAGCUGACGAGAGAGUUUCGGAAGUCCUACAAUGCUGCAGAGACUACAACAGGACUAGACGACAACGCUACUCGAAGUUACGUCGCCGCAGACCAUGUGAAACUUGCGAAAUCCAUGGUGCUGACAUGCUGUGCUCUGCGAGAGUCAUGGAGAGGACUAUGAUGAUGGGUGGAAUGCACCAGCAGCAGCAGAGCCUGGGGUAGCAGUGGCUCAAGGUGCAGAGGAGGAGGGCACUGACAUCAGAGAGGGUUUGAUGCGCUACCUGAAUACCUAAAUAUGCAUUGUAUUGUAUUCAUUGUAUUGAACAUAAAUACAUCUUUUUUUUUCAUA